This 239-nucleotide long non-coding RNA is filed under the name Elaeis guineensis (African oil palm). Its description in RNAcentral is "long non-coding RNA (EGUI_LNC068658)". Lineage: Eukaryota; Viridiplantae; Streptophyta; Magnoliopsida; Arecales; Arecaceae. The record is from RNAcentral.
AUGUUGGCACCAACAAUGGAUAGGCUCAAAUAAGGUGGCGCCAAAGAGUCCAAGUUUAUCAGGACUCUUUGGUUCUUAUCCAUUUGGGGCGCGCACUUAAAUCCAAUUGGGCUCAUGCCAUAAUCUGAUUAUGGCACCCAAUUUGAUUAGGUUUAGGCAUGUGGACACUCCACAAAAAAUCCUCCAAUAAGUCCUCUUCAGUUUAAGACCCAUAUGUCAACUUUUGACAGAUGUCCUAA